GGAAUUGUUCGCAAUGGGCGCAAGCCUGACGACGCAACGCCGCGUGGAGGAUGAAGGUCUUCGGAUUGUAAACUCCUGUUGCUCGGGACGACAAGCUCCGACCUCACACGUCGGAGUCUGACGGUACCGGGUGAGGAAGCCCCGGCUAACUCUGUGCCAGCAGCCGCGGUAAUACAGAGGGGGCAAGCGUUGUUCGGAAUUACUGGGCGUAAAGGGCGCGUAGGCGGCCUUUUAAGUCGAACGUGAAAUCCCCGGGCUCAACCCGGGAACUGCGUCCGAGACUGAAAGGCUCGAAUCCGGGAGAGGGAUGUGGAAUUCCAGGUGUGGCGGUGAAAUGCGUAGAUAUCUGGAGGAACAUCGGUGGCGAAGGCGGCAUCCUGGACCGGUAUUGACGCUGAGGCGCGAAAGCCAGGGGAGCAAAC
RNAcentral lists this ribosomal RNA (422 nucleotides) under uncultured bacterium. Its description in RNAcentral is "bacterial SSU rRNA". It matches the Rfam family "Bacterial small subunit ribosomal RNA", at positions 358 to 773 of the family's 1533-position model. The record is from RNAcentral.